Molecule: ribosomal RNA, 505 nt
Filed under: uncultured bacterium
Lineage: Bacteria
Description: bacterial SSU rRNA
Rfam family: Bacterial small subunit ribosomal RNA
Source: RNAcentral
UGAUGCAGCCAUGCCGCGUGUGUGAUGAAGGCCUUCGGGUUGUAAAGCACUUUCAAUUGGGAGGAAAGGUUCACGGCUAAUACCCGUGAGCUGUGACGUUACCUUUACAAGAAGCACCGGCUAACUCCGUGCCAGCAGCCGCGGUAAUACGGAGGGUGCGAGCGUUAAUCGGAAUUACUGGGCGUAAAGCGCGCGUAGGCGGUCUGUUAAGUCGGAUGUGAAAGCCCCGGGCUCAACCUGGGAACUGCAUCCGAUACUGGCAGACUACAGUGCGGGAGAGGGAGGUAGAAUUCCAUGUGUAGCGGUGAAAUGCGUAAAUAUGUGGAGGAAUACCAAUGGCGAAGGCGGCCUCCUGGCUCGACACUGACACUGAGGUGCGAAAGCGUGGGGAGCAAACAGGAUUAAAUACCCUGGUAGUCCACGCCGUAAACGAUGUCUACUAGCUGUAGGGGUACUUGAGACCUUUGUAGCGCAGCUAACGCACUAAGUAGACCGCCUGGGGGUA